This 324-nucleotide ribosomal RNA is filed under the name uncultured eukaryote. Its description in RNAcentral is "partial 18S ribosomal RNA". It matches the Rfam family "Eukaryotic small subunit ribosomal RNA", at positions 1470 to 1796 of the family's 1831-position model. The record is from RNAcentral.
CCCUUAGAUGUUCUGGGCCGCACGCGCGCUACACUGAUGCAUUCAACGAGCACCCGCUGGGCCGAGAGGUCCGGCUAAUCUUUGAACGUGCAUCGUGCUGGGGAUAGAUGAUUGCAAUUAUUCAUCUUCAACGAGGAAUUCCUAGUAAACGCAAGUCAUCAGCUUGCAUUGAUUACGUCCCUGCCCUUUGUACACACCGCCCGUCGCACCUACCGAUUGAAUGGUCCGGUGAAAUUCUCGGACGCGGACUUGCGAUGUUAAUUCGGAGCUUGACUGUGAAAGUUAAUUAAACCUUACCAUUUAGAGGAAGGUGAGGUCGUAACA